AGAUUGAGUACUAUUUCAGUUCGGAGAAUUUGUACACCGAUCAUUACCUGAAAAAGCAAAUGGAUGAUCACGGUUGGGUUCCAGUAACUUUAAUUGCACAGUUUAGGAGAGUUCAACGAUUAAUGAACGAAAGACAAUCCAUAUAUGAUUCUUUCAGGCUCUGGAGCUUCAUGGAAAUGCAGGU
Molecule: long non-coding RNA, 184 nt
Organism: Phalaenopsis equestris
Lineage: Eukaryota; Viridiplantae; Streptophyta; Magnoliopsida; Asparagales; Orchidaceae
Exons: 3
Source: RefSeq, a predicted model, not a curated record